GAUGAACGCUGGCGGCGUGGAUAAGGCAUGCAAGUCGAACGAAAUCUUUCCUGAAGAAGUUGCGAUUACAUCAAGAUGACGGAUUGAAGGAUUUAGUGGCGAACGAGUUAGUAACACCUUGGUAACGUACCUCCGAGUCGGGUACAACGGGUCGAAAGAUCCGCUAAUUCCCGAUAGUCCCGCAAGGGUAAAGUCGCAAGACGCUUGGAGAGCGGCCUAGGUCCUAUCAGCUUGUUGGCGGGGUAACGGCCCACCAAGGCUACGACGGGUAGGGGUGUGAGAGCAUGACCCUCAACGACGAAACUGAGAUACGGUUCGUACACCUACGGGUGGCAGCAGUCGAGAAUAUUCGACAAUGGGCGAAAGCCUGAUCGAGCGACGCCGCGUGCA
RNAcentral lists this ribosomal RNA (390 nucleotides) under uncultured bacterium. RNAcentral's name for it is "bacterial SSU rRNA". It matches the Rfam family "Bacterial small subunit ribosomal RNA", at positions 28 to 405 of the family's 1533-position model. The record is from RNAcentral.